CCUACGGGGGACAGCAGUAGGGAAUCUUCCGCAAUGGGCGCAAGCCUGAUGGAGCAACACCGCGUGAGUGAAGAAGGGUUUCGGCUCGUAAAGCUCUGUUGUUUGAGAAGAACGAGCGUGAGAGUAACUGUUCACGCAGUGACGGUAUCCAACCAGAAAGUCACGGCUAACUACGGGCCAGCAGCCGCGGUAAUACGUAGGUGGCAAGCGUUGUCCGGAUUUAUUGGGCGUAAAGCGAGCGCAGGCGGUUGCUUAGGUCUGAUGUGAAAGCCUGCGGCUUAACCGAAGACGUGCAUUGGAAACUGGGGAACUUGAGUGCAGAAGAGGACAGUGGAACUCCAUGUGUAGCGGUGGAAUGCGUAGAUAUAUGGAAGAACACCAGUGGCGAAGGCGGCUGUCUGGUCUGCAACUGACGCUGAGGCUCGAAAGCAUGGGUAGCGAACAGGAUUAGAUACCCCAGUAGUC
Molecule: ribosomal RNA, 465 nt
Filed under: uncultured bacterium
Lineage: Bacteria
Description: partial 16S ribosomal RNA
Rfam family: Bacterial small subunit ribosomal RNA
Source: RNAcentral